GUAACACGUGGGUAACCUGCCCGGAAGUGGGGAAUACUCGGGGAAACUCGAGCUAAUACCGCAUGACAUCUUCGGGGACGAAAGUCCUGGCGAUCAAAGCGGGGUCGCAAGAUCUCGCGCUACGGAUGGGCCCGCGCCCGAUUAGCUAGUUGGCGAGGUAACGGCUCACCAAGGCUUCGAUCGGUAACCGGCCUGAGAGGGCGAUCGGUCACACCGGAACUGAGACACGGUCCGGACUCCUACGGGAGGCAGCAGGUGGGGAAUCUUGCGCAAUGGGCGAAAGCCUGACGCAGCAAACGCCCGCGUGGAGGGAUGAAGGCCCUUGGGUUGUCAAACUCCUGUCGGUUGGGCAAGAAAUUGUCCGGGGCUAAUACCUCCGGACAUUGACUGUACCAGCAAAGGAAAGCCCGGUUAACUCUGUGCCAGCAGCCGGGGUAAUACAGAGGGGGGCCAGCGUUAUUCGGAAUUAUUUGGGCGUAAGGGCGCGUAGGCGGCUUGGUGUCUUUCGUGAAAUCCCCUUCGGUUAACUGAGGACGUGCGGAAGAAACUGCAGGGGUUUGGAGUCCGGGAAAGGGGGGUGGAAUUCCCAGUGGUAGCGGGUGAAAUUGCG
Molecule: ribosomal RNA, 610 nt
Filed under: uncultured bacterium
Lineage: Bacteria
Description: bacterial SSU rRNA
Rfam family: Bacterial small subunit ribosomal RNA
Source: RNAcentral